UACGUAGGGUGCAAGCGUUUGUCCGGAAUUAUUGGGCGUAAAGAGCUCGUAGGCGGCCUGUCGCGUCGGCUGUGAAAACCCGAGGCUCAACCUCGGGCCUGCAGUCGAUACGGGCAGGCUAGAGUUCGGUAGGGGAGACUGGAAUUCCUGGUGUAGCGGUGAAAAUGCGCAGAUAUCAGGAGGAACACCGGUGGCGAAGGCGGGUCUCUGGGCCGAUACUGACGCUGAGGAGCGAAAGCGUGGGGAGCGAACAGG
Molecule: ribosomal RNA, 255 nt
Filed under: uncultured bacterium
Lineage: Bacteria
Description: partial 16S ribosomal RNA
Rfam family: Bacterial small subunit ribosomal RNA
Source: RNAcentral